CUGUGAUUCUGACACCAGUAGAGUUCCUCCAUAGUGGACAAGAUGGUUUCACUACACAGAUACACCUUCAACUCAGCAGUGACUGUUCCACCUCCAGGAAAGGAAGACCUUGAAAUGCUCCAGGACAAACAAGUUUCACUGAAGCACAGCAUCCUGAAAUCAAAGGUGGUAAGAAUAGGAAUAGCUGAAUCUGUACAUUUCUACAUCAUUUUACAGGAUGGACGGGUCUGCCUGAGAGGCAACCCUACAUAGCACAAGUUCUGGCUCAUUCUAAGAGAGCCUCAUCCUUUGUUUAUCCUUUCUUAUGGACUGUGGCAUCAUUGUUGAACGGGCUCUUGUGGGCUGCAUGAGUGGAUGUACCCACCCAUAGGCUCUGAGACCCUCUGCAGCACUCAAGAAAGAAGACACACUGCCACAUUUCAUCACUGCCACACACUUGCAUCUAUGGGAAGAAGCACAGUGUGGCAGAAAGAGUUUGCACUUGAGGCAGACAGAGCUAUGAAGAUCCCAGCCCUGCCAUUUGCCACUGAAAGGCCAUGAACAAGUUCUAUCCACUGAAGUUAUGACAGAGAAAUGAACACCGAAGACUGAGAUGUCCUCAGUGAGGAAGGAAAGACUGUAAAGUAAUCUCUCUACCCCUCUUCAAAUUAGGGAAGUCUUCCUGAUCCUGUCUUAUUGAUUCGAAGAAAAAAAAAUCUUUGGGCAUCAAAAUAAACAUACAAAAAGCAGUAGGCCCAUUCAAGAUGAUUCAAGAUGUCCCUUCAGUAAUCACUACACAAACAGUGCAUCUGGAUGCCAAAGCCAACAUUUUAAAAAAAUAUUUACUUAUGGGAUCCCUGGGUGGCACAGCGGUUU
Long non-coding RNA from Canis lupus familiaris (dog), 855 nucleotides. RefSeq lists it as uncharacterized. Lineage: Eukaryota; Metazoa; Chordata; Mammalia; Carnivora; Canidae. The record is from RefSeq and is a predicted model, not a curated record. The transcript has 3 exons.